UGACCUCCGUAUUGGGGCUUUGACUAGUCUGUCGGUGGCUGUGUGGUGCAUUUGCAAGUGGAGUGCGUCGAGGCAUCUGGGAUGGCGGAAUGAACUUGGCUUUGAGGCCAGCUUGCUGGUACCCGGGCCGGGGGAUUUCUGUUCGUUCUAGGUGUUUUUACGGUCGGACAAGGCUUUGCGGGCCUGGUUGGGUGCCGAGCUGGGUGUCGGUGGCGGUCGCUUGCGACACGUACUGUGCCACCAGUUCGGUCCUGGCCGAGCUCACUCCAUGUUCAAUCUCGGCGUAAAAGCUGGUCAUCUUUCCGACCCGUCUUGAAACACGGACCAAGGAGUUUAUCGUGUGCGCAAGUCAUUGGGCGUUGAAAACCCAAAGGCGCAAUGAAAGUAAAUGUAUCCGCUCGGAACUGAUGUGCGACCCUGGUCACUGCGGUGGCCAGGAGCAGCAUGGCCCCAUCCUGACUGCUUGCAGUGGGGUGGAGGAAGAGCGUACGCGAUGAGACCCGAAAGAU
Molecule: ribosomal RNA, 509 nt
Filed under: Pratylenchus scribneri
Lineage: Eukaryota; Metazoa; Nematoda; Chromadorea; Rhabditida; Pratylenchidae
Description: partial large subunit ribosomal RNA
Rfam family: Eukaryotic large subunit ribosomal RNA
Source: RNAcentral